RNAcentral lists this ribosomal RNA (253 nucleotides) under uncultured bacterium. RNAcentral's name for it is "partial 16S ribosomal RNA". It matches the Rfam family "Bacterial small subunit ribosomal RNA", at positions 524 to 776 of the family's 1533-position model. The record is from RNAcentral.
UACAGAGGGUGCAAGCGUUAAUCGGAAUUACUGGGCGUAAAGCGCGCGUAGGUGGUUCGCUAAGUUGGAUGUGAAAUCCCCGGGCUCAACCUGGGAACUGCAUUCAAAACUGACGAGCUAGAGUAUGGUAGAGGGUGGUGGAAUUUCCUGUGUAGCGGUGAAAUGCGUAGAUAUAGGAAGGAACACCAGUGGCGAAGGCGACCACCUGGACUGAUACUGACACUGAGGAGCGAAAGCGUGGGUAGCGAACAGG